CAGUCGCCACGGGAAUACGGAGGGAGCUAGCGUUGUUCGGAAUUACUGGGCGUAAAGCGCACGUAGGCGGCUUUGUAAGUUAGAGGUGAAAGCCUGGAGCUCAACUCCAGAAUUGCCUUUAAGACUGCAUCGCUUGAAUCCGGGAGAGGUGAGUGGAAUUCCGAGUGUAGAGGUGAAAUUCGUAGAUAUUCGGAAGAACACCAGUGGCGAAGGCGGCUCACUGGCUCAUACUGGACGCUGAGGUGCGAAAGCGUGGGGAGCAAACAGGAUUAGAGACCCCAGUAGUCCCUGUCUAUUAUAC
RNAcentral lists this ribosomal RNA (301 nucleotides) under uncultured bacterium. Its description in RNAcentral is "partial 16S ribosomal RNA". It matches the Rfam family "Bacterial small subunit ribosomal RNA", at positions 509 to 807 of the family's 1533-position model. The record is from RNAcentral.